AUUGAACGCCGGCGGCAGGCCUAACACAUGCAAGUCGAGCGGAUGAAGGGAGCUUGCUCCUGGAUUCAGCGGCGGACGGGUGAGUAAUGCCUAGGAAUCUGCCUGGUAGUGGGGGAUAACGUCCGGAAACGGGCGCUAAUACCGCAUACGUCCUGAGGGAGAAAGUGGGGGAUCUUCGCACCUCACGCUAUCAGAUGAGCCUAGGUCGGAUUAGCUAGUUGGUGGGGUAAAGGCCUACCAAGGCGACGAUCCGUAACUGGUCUGAGAGGAUGAUCAGUCACACUGGAACUGAGACACGGUCCAGACUCCUACGGGAGGCAGCAGUGGGGAAUAUUGGACAAUGGGCGAAAGCCUGAUCCAGCCAUGCCGCGUGUGUGAAGAAGGUCUUCGGAUUGUAAAGCACUUUAAGUUGGGAGGAAGGGCAGUAAGUUAAUACCUUGCUGUUUUGACGUUACCAACAGAAUAAGCACCGGCUAACUUCGUG
RNAcentral lists this ribosomal RNA (484 nucleotides) under uncultured bacterium. RNAcentral's name for it is "partial 16S ribosomal RNA". It matches the Rfam family "Bacterial small subunit ribosomal RNA", at positions 30 to 507 of the family's 1533-position model. The record is from RNAcentral.